RNAcentral lists this small nucleolar RNA (107 nucleotides) under Cephalotus follicularis. RNAcentral describes it as "Plant small nucleolar RNA R71". It matches the Rfam family "Plant small nucleolar RNA R71". Rfam says of the family: R71 is a member of the C/D box family of snoRNAs containing the C (UGAUGA) and D (CUGA) box motifs. Multiple nearly identical copies of this snoRNA have been identified in Arabidopsis, and it is thought to function as a 2'-O-ribose methylation guide for 18S ribosomal RNA. The record is from Rfam by way of RNAcentral. Lineage: Eukaryota; Viridiplantae; Streptophyta; Magnoliopsida; Oxalidales; Cephalotaceae.
AGACCAUGAUGAGGACAUUCUAUGAGAAGGUCUUUGAAACGUUCCAUGCAUCGAGAGAAUGGUUCAUUGGGGCGCUGGCGAAACUGGAGAAUGUCGUUCCUAAGUUU